AUAAGCAAGCUGUCGGUGCACAAUUAUGCUUCAGCCAAAUCAGAAUCUCCUUGCUCCUGACGAGGGUUAAUUUUGUUAUGCGUCAAGUGUUCGUCCACUACGACCGUUGUUAACGGGGUGAACGCCGUCACCAGCCAACGAGGCGUUUAAGAAUACAACGUCUAUCUGCUUUUCUUUGGAUGGAUAUAAUUAAAUGUGAAAGAAAAAGUCUUUUCCAGAGCUUCUGCUACUCUCAAGAGGAACGGGCGAACUUCUACGCGGAUAAACUUGUUUAACGAACGAACAAGGAGUGUCUGUCCAUGGUCUGGCAAAUCGUCGGCCAGCCUCGUUCGUUAGACUAUGUAGUAUCGGGGUUGGAGGUCACGCAAAAGAGGAAACGGUUAUCUCGUCGUUUUCGGCUUGUUGGACAUAUAUAGGGGAUGCAAUGAUGACGGAUAUUCUAAGAGGUGGAUAGCAUGUAUUAUCCUUUUAUGGUUUAAUGUAUUUUUUAUACUAUCUUCGUUUGAUCACAGUAAUUUUUCCUAUAUUCUUCUUUUCAUUUCCAACGAUCUAAUAAGAUGUUAAAGUUGGUUAGAUUUCAUUAUUGAUUGGUCUUCAUCAGCAGGUCCUUUUGAUUGAUCAUUAGUAGAAAAAUGCAACGAGAUUAGUAUGGUUUUGUAUGGAAACCGCAGGAAAUUGGAAGACAAAAUUUUAGUAAAAUUAUCGAAAACCUCUCAAGUUAACUUGAAAUCUAA
RNAcentral lists this unclassified non-coding RNA (734 nucleotides) under Bombus terrestris (buff-tailed bumblebee). RNAcentral's name for it is "misc RNA ENSBTSG00005029012.1". Lineage: Eukaryota; Metazoa; Arthropoda; Insecta; Hymenoptera; Apidae. The record is from RNAcentral.